RNAcentral lists this ribosomal RNA (253 nucleotides) under uncultured bacterium. RNAcentral describes it as "partial 16S ribosomal RNA". It matches the Rfam family "Bacterial small subunit ribosomal RNA", at positions 524 to 776 of the family's 1533-position model. The record is from RNAcentral.
UACGUAGGGUGCUAGCGUUGUCCGGAUUUAUUGGGCGUAAAGGGCUCGUAGGCGGUCUGUCGCGUCGGCUGUGAAAACCCGGAGCUCAACUCCGGGCCUGCAGUCGAUACGGGCAGACUGGAGUUCGGCAGGGGAGACUGGAAUUCCUGGUGUAGCGGUGAAAUGCGCAGAUAUCAGGAGGAACACCGGUGGCGAAGGCGGGUCGCUGGGCCGAUACUGACGCUGAGGAGCGAAAGCGUGGGGAGCGAACAGG